Long non-coding RNA from Loxodonta africana (African savanna elephant), 6537 nucleotides. RefSeq lists it as uncharacterized. Lineage: Eukaryota; Metazoa; Chordata; Mammalia; Proboscidea; Elephantidae. The transcript has 3 exons. The record is from RefSeq and is a predicted model, not a curated record.
GGCGCCCGGCCCCGCCCCCCGAGGCGGCGGUUGGAGCUGUCGCCGUUAUUUGCAAACCGGGGCGUUGGUGGCGGCUGCAGCUUUUCAGACAUGUCGACUGUGGUGAGCGGCCUGCCCGGCUGUUUUUGUGCAGAUAGCCGCGUUAGGAGGAACAGACGCUUCUCGGAACUUCUGAUCCUUUCAUCCAGUGUCGGCGCCCCGCGUCUCCCGGGGAGCAGGGUGUGGGACCCGACAAGGUCAUGGGCACAACAGAGCAAGUUUCAGCCUGUGUUUGGGCAAGCAGUGAAAAAUGACCAGUGUUACGAUGACACCCGGGUUUGUCAUGUGGCCGGCCAUAGUUCCUUUUGCACAUAAUCAAAAGAGGGAGUAUCAGAGGAGUGUUCCUUGUGCUUUCUUUGCAUAAGGUCAUGAUAAAGUCCUUGGAGCUGAUGGAUUAAGGCUUGCUCUGGCUGCGGGAAUGCUUCCAGAAGAGCUGGAUCCUAGGAGGGAGGGUUUCCAGCACCCGGAUGCCCGCAUGGAGAAGAUGCCCUUAUCUGCCGUGUCUGCUGGCUGCUGAGCAGUUACCACUUCCCACCUGGCUCCUGCAAGGAGAGACGCUGUCGCCCACUGAAGCUACAUGUCCUCCAGGUCUCCAUGUUCAGCUUCCAAAUGGGACUGUAGGGGUUCACUGAGAGUGCCCAGGUUCCUCCUUGAUCUGUUUUACUGUCAACUGGAUGUCUCUUGCUGGCUGAAAGGAAGGCAGGGCAGGCGAGGGUCUCUGGGUGGUCAUGGCCAUCUGUUUUCUCCAAGCCUCCCCAUUCUGGUGAUUGGCCAUGUAAUUUACCGCCUUACAGAGACACUUUCAAAAGUAAAAGGUGGUGCUAUCUGUAAUUAUGUGAGAAACAGCUAUGAAUAGGGCUGUCCAAGGCAAAGUGGGACAUUUGGUUGACCAAGGCUUAUAGAACCCUUGGGUCAUCCUCUGUCUUCCAGUUCACCCCUAUCACAGCAACAAUGGGCAGCAGUUCUCCAAAUGACCACUCCUCCUCUUGGGAAAUAUUCAGAGUCCUCAUCUGUCUCAUGGGGAUAAUAUUAGUACUUACUACAUAGGUACAUGGUUCAGCUCUUGUGAGGCUGAUUUCACCUAUGCCAGACACUGGUAACCGUGCACAAAGGGAUAUAUUUAAGUAUCCAUUGUAAUAGCCAAAGCCUGAAAGAUCCUAAAAAUUUGUCAAUAGGGCACUGGUUCUUUCCUGCUCGGAUUAUGAUGCAGCUGUUAGAAACAGUGAUUAGAUUGAGAAUGACUGCCUGUCAUGGGAGGGCAGGGUUGUGUCCAUGGGGUGACCCCAAAGUCAAAAGUAGGUCAGGAGGUCGCGUCUGCAGACACAGCGGUUGAGUGGGUAGGACAGUGCAGAAGCAGCGAUUGGUGGGCUGAUGGAGAGAGGGGCACUAGGUCCCUGGUUGGAACUGGGCGCUUUGAGGAGGAGACCGGAGAAUCUACUGUUGUGGGUGUAUGUGACUGCAUUUAGCAGGUGCUGGGAGCAGCGGGGAGGGCAGAACCAGCAUCUGCUGUAGCCGUGACUAAGGUCCUGGGAUGCAAAGGGCCUCCUUCCUCCCCCUUCAGAGGAGCUCACAGUGGGCUUGAACAUGAAGGGGGAAGGAACUGAGCAGCAGCUGGAGAAGCGGGUCAGUCAGGAGUUGGGCCCCUCAUUUCCCAUCCACACCUGGUGUGAGGGAGGGAUCAGAAAGGACAGUAGACCUAUCAGACGUUUCAGCCAUGUCCAUGCCUGACAGAGGGAGGAAGGAGGGGACAGCAAGGUGAAAGGGGCUGUGACAGUAAGCAUGAAGGGUGCCUGGAAGGUACGCUGUCAGUGAGGAGAGGAGUGGGCCUGGUGAGCUGGGCUUAUCCAAUAAGAAGGAUCUAUAGGGAUGGCCACUCCAGCAGGUUCUAGGACACCCUGGGCCCAGGGAAUCUUGCUUCUCCCUGUGUCUCAGCUGUGCAUUAAUGCUGGGGCUGGAGAGGUAGCUUUAGGAGCAGUCCCUGCAGCAGGCAGGGGGAAGGAUAAGGCAUUUAUGAGUCCUCAUGCCCUUUCCCCAGGCACACUGGGAAGACCUACCCCGUGAAUUCACCCCAACUGAGCAUUGCGUUGAAUUUUCUUCAGAUUUUUGCGCGUGUGUGUGUGUGUGUGUUUUUAAAUUUUACAUACACACAAAAAAUCUAUAGAACCCUAGCUUGAGAAACGGUGUCAUGAGGUGACCAGGCCCUCGACAGGGCUCCCCAGAAGCUGAGGGUCCCGAGAGCUUGGGCAACUCCCAGUCAGGCUGGGAUCCUACAAGGUCCCCUACUUGAUGGCAGGCGUGCCCACGUGCCCAAAGGGAGGUAGAGCAGAGCCAGGUGAGCUGUGUUGCUUGCAUCUGACAUGCCUCUGGAUCUCCCACCCCCUUUCCCAGCUGCCUGGAGCAGAGGCGAUCAAGGUGCCACUCAGGGUCUCACCACGGGCAGUGCUUGACUGGGUGCCCCCUGUGGACCCUAAGGGGAUGGCAGGGCUGGGUUGGCUUCUGCAUGAGAUGAUGUUGAAAGCUUUCAGGGACAAUCUUCACAAAAUACUCCAUGUGAAUGGCACCCCUCGAAGUUAUUCACAUGGCCACUCUACUGCCAUCCUCUCCAAAUUAUGGCAGCCAUUGGACAGCUUAGCCUUAGGGCUGAAGCCCUCACCACCCCUAGGGCCUUCUAUGGAAUGGGCAUCCCUUCCGCAUGGAAGGUGUUCUCCAGACACUCUUCACUUACCUAAACUCAUUUUUAUGAUGUCUCCUCUUCCAUAUACAUGUAUAGCACCCAGAAUCUUGGUAUUAUUGGUUGCGUUGCUUUCCCUGAAGUGCCAAAAUGAAAAUUAGGGAAGCAGCGGUGCACAUGGGAAUGUUUUUGCCUUCCCCUCCUCAUAGUACCUCAUCCACACUUACAUUUCCUCUUUCUCUCCUUUUAUAUGUCCAUUGGAAUGAGGAGGAAGAGGGUUUCUGCGCCCACCCUCCUUGUGGGGCUCUCCUGAUGGCUGGAGGGAAGAGAACAGUUGUGCAUGUCCGGGGCCACUAAGUGCGGUACGGCACCUGUGUGGGGGUGCCCAGGCCAGAACCCCACUUCACAGUGCCCCCUCCGCAGAGUAUAUCCCAGCGCUUCUGACUCCCAGCCCAGCUCCCUGCCUGGGCCAUCAAGUGUUGUCUAGCGUGAUUCAGUGGUGCAGGCUGGGGUUCAGAAACCAGGGCAAUGCUAAGAAAGUGGGUUUGGAGGGCUGGAGAGAGGUUUUAUAGGCACUGAAGAUCCAAGGACCUCCAUUGCCUAGAUGAGGUCAGCUACAAGGAGAGCCUAUGAAUAAGAGAGGCAGACAGAGAGGGAGUGAGAAUAAAAAUCAAACAGAAAGAGAAAAUAAAUUACAAGCAGCUUGCUGGUCUCUUCUUCAGAAUCUCUGAAGUAGUUCUUUGGGUGGAUCACAGAAAUGAUGACAAUGGUUUUGCCUUAGGGCGGCCUGUCUUCUCCCAAAGCCCAUAGUUGUGCUGGGUAAUAUACAGCUGCAAAGCCAGAAGUAAUGGCUUCACCAGAGACGAAAACAGCUGAGGUGCCAACAAGGCCAGCUGUGUGCUGACAUGGGUGCCCAAGUUGGAAGUUGUGGGCAAUGAAUCCUCAAAAGCUGAGUGUGCUGGCCAAGGCUGGCCUGCCUGGAGUGGAUCUUGGGGCUGGGCUGGGCUGCUAGGAUUCCCAACCGGAGUGAGUUGUUAGAGGUCCGGUUCUGUGCUGCUGCCCAUCCGGGGCCCUGAUUGUGGGCUGGGUUGUACUCCAGGGUAAAUGGAAAGGUUCAAAUUUAGGGUGGGACCACAGAACCUCAGCACAGGUGGGCUGGUUGUUUCUGGGUCUGAUGCCGUACUGUCAUGGGGGGCAGUGUCUGAAGGGGCUGGUCAAAUGGGAAGAAGCUCCCACUGUAGCUAGUGGGAUGCCCCAAGAGAAGCAGCUGGGAAAUUGGGGUGAAGUCUGUGGGGAUGACCCAAUGUCAGAAGCAGCCUGGAGACACGGUGGUUGAGGGGCUGGGACUGGGUGCAGUAGCUGCCAUUGGUAGACUGAUGGAGAGAGGGUCACUAGAUCCCUGGUUGAAACUGGGAACUGUGAGGCGGCGACUAGAGAAUUUACACUCAUGGGUGUAUGUGACUGCUGGGAUCAGCGCGGAGGGCAGAACGGGCAUCUGCUGUAGCCGUGACUGAGGUCCUGAGAUGCAAAGGGCCUCCUUCCUUCCCCUUCAGAGGAGCUCACAGUAGGCUUGAACAUGAAGGGGGAAGGAACUGAGCAGCAGCUGGAGGAGCGAGUCAGUCAGGAGUUGGGCCCCUCAUCUCCCAUCCACACCUGGUUUGAGGGAGGGAUCAGAAAGGACAGUAGACCUAUCAGAUGUUUCAGCCAUGUCCAUGCCUGACAGAGGGAGGAAGGAGGGGACAGCAAGGUGAAAGGGGCUAUGACAGGAAGGGGUGGGCCUGUUGGGUGGGGCUUCUCACUACACAAAGGCUCGAUAGGUGUGGCCCCUCCAGUAGGUUCUAGGCCUAGGGGGUCCUGAUUCUUGCAUCUCGUCUACUAUGGAUUAAUACUGGAGCCGGAAGGGCAGCUGGUGGAGGAGCAGUCCCUGCAGCAGGCAGUGGGGAGGACCGGGUGGUUCUGAGUCCUCAUGCCCUUUCCCCUGGCCCAUUGUGGAGACCUGCCCAGAUCCUGCUGGGGUGGGGGCUGGGAGAGACAUAGUUACCAUGUGACCCAGCACUCCCACCCCUAGGUACUGAGCCAAGAGAAAUGAAUACUUUGGUUCACACAGAAACCUGCACGUGAAUAUGUGUGUGUGUAUUGUUACAUUUGCAGUUUUACCUGCUUUAUGCAUCUCCUAGAUGAGAGACUAUUGAGAUUACCCAAUUUUUCUUGAGUGGCUUUGGAACUGUCUUUAGUGAUUGCUCUGGGGAUAACAAAUAUAUAUACCGAACAUUUCACAGUCUAAUUAGAGUUCAUAUCUUACCAAUUCUGGUAAAUUGUAGAAGCCUUACAGUCAUAUAAAUUUCUGAUACCCCCAGUCUUUUUAUUACACUUGUCAGAUGUAUUAACACGUACAUGAACUGAACCCCACGUAUAUGACUGAGACUGUAACGAACGAGAAAAAAGCUAAUAUAAUAAACGUGCUUUUGUUGUUGGGUGCCACUGAGUCGAUUCCGAUUUGUAGUGACCUCAUGUGACAGAGCCGAACUGCCCUAUAGGACUUUCUUGGCUGUAAUCUUUACGGGAGCAGAUGGUCAGGUCUUUCUCCUGAGGAACCACUGGGUGGGAUAGAACUACCAGGUUAAGCCGAGCACUUAACUGUUUUGCCACCAGAGCUCCUUAAUAAAACCAGGAGCUGUAGCUAAAGCCAUAUGCCCAUGAGGAUAGAGAAAUGUAAAAUACAUUGAAAAUUCAUUACUAUAACAGUAAAUGACCCAAAUAUAAAUUUGGAAAAACAGAGAAAACCCAUGAUUGAAAUCAACAACAAGAAAUUUAAAUUUAAUAAUUUUAAGAAUAAAAUAUAAAUUAAAAUAAAGUAGGAGCCCUCCCUGGUGGCGCAGUGGUUAAGCGUUUGGUUGCUAACCAAAAGGUUUGCAGGUUGAAUGAACCAGCGGCUCCUUGGAAACCCUAUGGGGCAAUUCUACUCUGUCUUAUAGGGUCACUAUGAGUCAUGAUCGACUUGAUGUAAUAAAAGUCACAACAGAUAAACACUAGGACAGCUGCGGCUUCUUGGAGACAAGGCUGAAGCCUUCAGGUCCAAGCCUUCACUGGUCUCGAGACCAGAAUAUGUGACACAGACACAGGGGCUGGAAUCACUGGGGAGGCAUUGAGAGGGGCAGAGGAGGGGCGUGCUGGGUGGACUGCGAGACUCAGAAGGUCUUGGGACUCAGAAGGCCUUGGGACUCAGAAGGCCUUGGGACUCAGAAGGUCUUGGGACUCAGAAGGUCUUGGAUUCCUUAUUUUCAGGGGUCAGGAGAGUAGGGAACUGAGGCCUCUUUGCUGCAUUCUGUUGACCGCAGAGGUGUCUAUAACUGUUCCCCAAAAUGUUUUCACCUGGGAGCUUGGCAGGGCAGACUUCAGUGAACAUACUACAGCAGAAAGGGAAGGAGUCUGGGAUCUAGGAUAAGGAGGCAGAGCCCACCCACCUGGGGCAUUUGGGUGGUCUGAUGGAACAGGUGUGGAAGUGAUGAUCACACCCGCUCUGCCCUGACAUCAAUAUAAUUCAGUCUGGGGUUCUUCACAUUACGCCCGGACAACUUUUUGGAGCUCUUCCCUUUCCCCCCAAUGGUUAUUUUUCUUUCUGGCGCCACCACCACCAAACCUUGCCCUUGCCUUUCAAUUAAAUAAAAGCAUUAUGCUGUGGUAACGAAAACAACGUUUAUGGAUUUAGUGUAGUCCCGUGUGAAAAGGUUACAGAAGAUACUGCUUUUUGGUAUGUACUAAAACCAGUUCUAUUAUUUACAAAAUUGAAAAAUAAAAGGGUCGUAAAUAGGUACCUUGUAAUCCUA